This 275-nucleotide ribosomal RNA is filed under the name Klebsiella pneumoniae. RNAcentral describes it as "partial 23S ribosomal RNA". It matches the Rfam family "Bacterial large subunit ribosomal RNA", at positions 1399 to 1676 of the family's 2925-position model. The record is from RNAcentral. Lineage: Bacteria; Pseudomonadati; Pseudomonadota; Gammaproteobacteria; Enterobacterales; Enterobacteriaceae.
AGGCCGAAAGGCGUAGUCGAUGGGAAACAGGUUAAUAUUCCUGUACUUGGUGUUACUGCGAAGGGGGGACGGAGAAGGCUAUGUUAGCCGGGCGACGGUUGUCCCGGUUUAAGCAUGUAGGCUGGUUAUCCAGGCAAAUCCGGAUAAUCAAGGCUGAGGUGUGAUGACGAGGCACUACGGUGCUGAAGUAACAAAUGCCCUGCUUCCAGGAAAAGCCUCUAAGCAUCAGGUAACAUCAAAUCGUACCCCAAACCGACACAGGUGGUCAGGUAGAG